AGGACGAACGCUGGCGGCGUGCCUAACACAUGCAAGUGGAGCGACGAACCAGGCUUCGGCCUGGGGCAGAGCCGCGAACGGGUGAGUAACACGUGGGUAACCUGCCCUGAUGAUUGGGACAACCCGAGGAAACUCGGGCUAAUACCGAAUGUGCCCUCUGGCCUCAAGGCCUCUGGGGAAAGGAAGCUUCGGCCUCCGCAUCGGGAUGGGCCCGCGGCCCAUUAGCUUGUUGGUGAGGUAACGGCUCACCAAGGCAACGAUGGGUAGCUGGUCUGAGAGGACGAUCAGCCACACUGGGACUGAGACACGGCCCAGACUCCUACGGGAGGCAGCAGUGGGGAAUCUUGCGCAAUGCGCGAAAGCGUGACGCAGCAACGCCGCGUGGGGAAGACGGCCUUCGGUUGUAAACCCUUUCAGUUGGGACGAAGCUCCGCCGGUGAUAGCCGGCUGGAGUGACGGUACCUUCGAGAAGAAGCCCGGCUAACUACGUGCCAGCAGCCGCGGUAA
Molecule: ribosomal RNA, 507 nt
Filed under: uncultured bacterium
Lineage: Bacteria
Description: SSU rRNA
Rfam family: Bacterial small subunit ribosomal RNA
Source: RNAcentral